UAAAGACAUUAGGUUGUUCUGUUACUGUAACUAACUGGUCAUGUAAUAAAGACAUUAGGUUGUUCUGUUACUGUAACUAACUGGUCAUGUAAUAAAGACAUUAGGUUGUUCUGUUACUGUAACUAACUGGUCAUGUAAUAAAGACAUUAGGUUGUUCUGUUACUGUAACUAACUGGUCAUGUAAUAAAGACAUUAGGUUGUUCUCAGAAUGGUUAGAGAUUUGUAAAGGGUUGUAAAAUACCGGUAACUUUCCAAAAAUUCCCAGGUUUUCCAGAAAUCCCGGUUGGAUGUGUCCCUGAAUCAUAAGGGUAUAAGCAGGAAAUCCCGGUUGGAUGUAACCCUGAAUCAUAAGGGUAUAAGCAGGAAAUCCCGGUUGGAUGUAACCCUGAAUCAUAAGGGUAUAAGCAGGAAAUCCAGAAUCCUCCAACCAGGAUUUCUGGAAAACCUUUGCAUUUCAGAUAAGUUAACGGAAUUUUGCAAACCCUGUAAAGGGUUCAACCCCAGUUCCAGACACCAGUCAAUAUUCCUCAAUCCAUUCCUAGGGGAUCCUCAGGGGGUGCAUGUUUUUGUUCUACCCCAGCACUAGCACAUUCAGGUGCUGAGCCAGAACAACCCCCAAGUGAUGCAGCAGGCGCUAACAAACCUGAUUAGAAUGAGGUUUAUUAGUGAUGGGCUAGAACAAAAACCAGUACCCCCAGGAAUGGCUUGAGCAACACUGUCAUACACAUCUAACCGUUAAGCCUAAUAUGUGUCUCAUCAUCAAAAUCCACAUUAGACAUUUUCUAUAACAACAGAAUGUAUUCCUAGAUAUAGUGUAUAUAAACUACCGUUCAAACGUUUGGGGUCACUUAGAAAUGUCCUUGUUUUUGAAAGAAAAGCAAUUUUUUUUGUCCAUUAAAAUAACAUCAAAUCGAUCAGAAAUACAGUGUAGACAUUGUUAAUGUUGUAAAUGACUAUUGUGGCUGAAAACAGUAUAUUUCUUUAAAAUUGAAUAUCUACACAGGGCAAUAGAACACACACUGGACAGAGGAACUCUGCCUAGAAUGCCAGCAUCCCGAUGUCGCCUCUUCACUGUUGACGUUAAGACUGGUGUUUUGCGGGUACUAUUUAAUGAAGCUGCCAGUUGAGGACUUGUGAGGCGCCUGUUUCUCAAACUAGACACUCUAAUGUACUUGUCGUCUUGCUCAGUUGUGCACCGGGGCCUCCCACUCCUCUUUCUAUUCUGUUUAGAGUCAGUUUGCACUGUUCUGUGAAGGGAGUAGUACACAACGUUGUACGAGAUCUUCAGUUUCUAGGCAAUCUCUCGCAUGGAAUAGCCUUCAUUUCUCAAAGAACAAGAAUAGACUGCCGAGUUUCAGAAGAAAGUUAUUUGUUUCUGGCCAUUUUGAGCUUGUAAUCGAACCCACAAAUGCUGAUGCUCCAGAUACUCAACUAGUAUAAAGAAGGCCAGUUUUAUUGCUUCUUUAAUCAGACCAACAGUUUUCAGCUGUGUUAAUAUAAUUGCAAAAGGGUUUUCUAAUGAUCAAUUAGUCUUUUAAAAUGAUAAACUUGGAUUAGCUAACACAACAUGCCAUUGGAACACAGGAGUGAUGGUUGCUGCUAAUGGGCCUCUAGAUGCCUAUCUAGAUAUUCCAUAAAAAAUCUGCCAUUUCCAGCUACAAUAGUCAUUUACAACAUUAACAAUGUCUACACUGUAUUUCUGAUCAAUUUGAUGUUAUUUUAAUGGACAAAAAAAUAUGCUUUUCUUUCAAAAACAAGGACAUUUCUAAGUGACCCCAAACUUUUGAACGGUAGUGUACAUUUGAACGGUAGUGUACACCUUCCACCAAGAACAGGUGGAAGGUGAUUCAAUACACAGAAGUGAAAGGAUAAGUCAUUCUGGAGUGUCAUAUUUUCAUAUCGAGACGGAACAGGUUUUCAGUGAUUACAGCGUGAUACUAAGGCAGAAGCCAGGAUUUCAUACAGCAACAACGGUGGAUGCCUAACAAGGCCAGCUCAGUACAGCUUGGUUUGGAUCGGCUCUGUUCGGCCCAGUAGUGUGAAAAGCCCUUUAGAGCCGCAUAAAUGAAUGACAGGUGUAAGACAGACACCCCCACACCAGAAAUAAGCUGCACCCCAUUUUUUUCUAUUGAAUAUGAAUAAAAAUCCAUCUUGUAAAUAUAUACUUGAAUAGGCAAGUUUGAGGUGAAACACAGCUGCCCUCCGUUUCAAUGGGUAUGACACCUCUCCCCUAAUGCCCCCUCCCC
This 2246-nucleotide long non-coding RNA is filed under the name Salmo salar (Atlantic salmon). RNAcentral describes it as "lncRNA (ENSSSAG00000098067.1)". Lineage: Eukaryota; Metazoa; Chordata; Actinopteri; Salmoniformes; Salmonidae. The record is from RNAcentral.